Molecule: ribosomal RNA, 254 nt
Filed under: uncultured bacterium
Lineage: Bacteria
Description: partial 16S ribosomal RNA
Rfam family: Bacterial small subunit ribosomal RNA
Source: RNAcentral
UACGUAGGGACCGAGCGUUGUCCGGAAUCAUUGGGCGUAAAGAGCGUGUAGGCGGCUAUUUAAGUCCUGCGUGAAAUCCUGCGGCUCAACCGCAGACGGUCGUGGGAAACUGGAUGGCUAGAGUGCGGGAGAGGAGAGUGGAAUUCCCGGUGUAGCGGUGAAAUGCGCAGAUAUCGGGAAGAACACCCGUGGCGAAGGCGGCUCUCUGGAACGCAACUGGACGCUGAGACGCGAAAGCGUGGGGAGCAAACAGG